UGGCUCAGUGGUAGAGCGCUUGCCUUGCAUGCAUGAAGCCCUGGGUUCAAUUCCUCAG
Dipodomys ordii (Ord's kangaroo rat) is the source of this 58-nucleotide non-coding RNA. NCBI's taxonomy places the organism in Eukaryota, Metazoa, Chordata, Mammalia, Rodentia, Heteromyidae. The record is from Rfam.